This 2932-nucleotide ribosomal RNA is filed under the name Escherichia coli. RNAcentral describes it as "23S ribosomal RNA". It matches the Rfam family "Bacterial large subunit ribosomal RNA". The record is from RNAcentral. Lineage: Bacteria; Pseudomonadati; Pseudomonadota; Gammaproteobacteria; Enterobacterales; Enterobacteriaceae.
GGGUUGUGAGGUUAAGCGACUAAGCGUACACGGUGGAUGCCCUGGCAGUCAGAGGCGAUGAAGGACGUGCUAAUCUGCGAUAAGCGUCGGUAAGGUGAUAUGAACCGUUAUAACCGGCGAUUUCCGAAUGGGGAAACCCAGUGUGUUUCGACACACUAUCAUUAACUGAAUCCAUAGGUUAAUGAGGCGAACCGGGGGAACUGAAACAUCUAAGUACCCCGAGGAAAAGAAAUCAACCGAGAUUCCCCCAGUAGCGGCGAGCGAACGGGGAGCAGCCCAGAGCCUGAAUCAGURUGUGUGUUAGUGGAAGCGUCUGGAAAGGCGCGCGAUACAGGGUGACAGCCCCGUACACAAAAAUGCACAURYUGUGAGCUCGAUGAGUAGGGCGGGACACGUGGUAUCCUGUCUGAAUAUGGGGGGACCAUCCUCCAAGGCUAAAUACUCCUGACUGACCGAUAGUGAACCAGUACCGUGAGGGAAAGGCGAAAAGAACCCCGGCGAGGGGAGUGAAAAAGAACCUGAAACCGUGUACGUACAAGCAGUGGGAGCACGCUUAGGCGUGUGACUGCGUACCUUUUGUAUAAUGGGUCAGCGACUUAUAUUCUGUAGCAAGGUUAACCGAAUAGGGGAGCCGAAGGGAAACCGAGUCUUAACUGGGCGUUAAGUUGCAGGGUAUAGACCCGAAACCCGGUGAUCUAGCCAUGGGCAGGUUGAAGGUUGGGUAACACUAACUGGAGGACCGAACCGACUAAUGUUGAAAAAUUAGCGGAUGACUUGUGGCUGGGGGUGAAAGGCCAAUCAAACCGGGAGAUAGCUGGUUCUCCCCGAAAGCUAUUUAGGUAGCGCCUCGUGAAUUCAUCUCCGGGGGUAGAGCACUGUUUCGGCAAGGGGGUCAUCCCGACUUACCAACCCGAUGCAAACUGCGAAUACCGGAGAAUGUUAUCACGGGAGACACACGGCGGGUGCUAACGUCCGUCGUGAAGAGGGAAACAACCCAGACCGCCAGCUAAGGUCCCAAAGUCAUGGUUAAGUGGGAAACGAUGUGGGAAGGCCCAGACAGCCAGGAUGUUGGCUUAGAAGCAGCCAUCAUUUAAAGAAAGCGUAAUAGCUCACUGGUCGAGUCGGCCUGCGCGGAAGAUGUAACGGGGCUAAACCAUGCACCGAAGCUGCGGCAGCGACRCUGAUGYGUUGUUGGGUAGGGGAGCGUUCUGUAAGCCUGYGAAGGUGUGCUGUGAGGCAUGCUGGAGGUAUCAGAAGUGCGAAUGCUGACAUAAGUAACGAUAAAGCGGGUGAAAAGCCCGCUCGCCGGAAGACCAAGGGUUCCUGUCCAACGUUAAUCGGGGCAGGGUGAGUCGACCCCUAAGGCGAGGCCGAAAGGCGUAGUCGAUGGGAAACAGGUUAAUAUUCCUGUACUUGGUGUUACUGCGAAGGGGGGACGGAGAAGGCUAUGUUGGCCGGGCGACGGUUGUCCCGGUUUAAGCGUGUAGGCUGGUUUUCCAGGCAAAUCCGGAAAAUCAAGGCUGAGGCGUGAUGACGAGGCACUACGGUGCUGAAGCAACAAAUGCCCUGCUUCCAGGAAAAGCCUCUAAGCAUCAGGUAACAUCAAAUCGUACCCCAAACCGACACAGGUGGUCAGGUAGAGAAUACCAAGGCGCUUGAGAGAACUCGGGUGAAGGAACUAGGCAAAAUGGUGCCGUAACUUCGGGAGAAGGCACGCUGAUAUGUAGGUGARGUCCCUCGCGGAUGGAGCUGAAAUCAGUCGAAGAUACCAGCUGGCUGCAACUGUUUAUUAAAAACACAGCACUGUGCAAACACGAAAGUGGACGUAUACGGUGUGACGCCUGCCCGGUGCCGGAAGGUUAAUUGAUGGGGUUAGCCGCAAGGCGAAGCUCUUGAUCGAAGCCCCGGUAAACGGCGGCCGUAACUAUAACGGUCCUAAGGUAGCGAAAUUCCUUGUCGGGUAAGUUCCGACCUGCACGAAUGGCGUAAUGAUGGCCAGGCUGUCUCCACCCGAGACUCAGUGAAAUUGAACUCGCUGUGAAGAUGCAGUGUACCCGCGGCAAGACGGAAAGACCCCGUGAACCUUUACUAUAGCUUGACACUGAACAUUGAGCCUUGAUGUGUAGGAUAGGUGGGAGGCUUWGAAGUGUGGACGCCAGUCUGCAUGGAGCCGACCUUGAAAUACCACCCUUUAAUGUUUGAUGUUCUAACGUUGACCCGUAAUCCGGGUUGCGGACAGUGUCUGGUGGGUAGUUUGACUGGGGCGGUCUCCUCCUAAAGAGUAACGGAGGAGCACGAAGGUUGGCUAAUCCUGGUCGGACAUCAGGAGGUUAGUGCAAUGGCAUAAGCCAGCUUGACUGCGAGCGUGACGGCGCGAGCAGGUGCGAAAGCAGGUCAUAGUGAUCCGGUGGUUCUGAAUGGAAGGGCCAUCGCUCAACGGAUAAAAGGUACUCCGGGGAUAACAGGCUGAUACCGCCCAAGAGUUCAUAUCGACGGCGGUGUUUGGCACCUCGAUGUCGGCUCAUCACAUCCUGGGGCUGAAGUAGGUCCCAAGGGUAUGGCUGUUCGCCAUUUAAAGUGGUACGCGAGCUGGGUUUAGAACGUCGUGAGACAGUUCGGUCCCUAUCUGCCGUGGGCGCUGGAGAACUGAGGGGGGCUGCUCCUAGUACGAGAGGACCGGAGUGGACGCAUCACUGGUGUUCGGGUUGUCAUGCCAAUGGCACUGCCCGGUAGCUAAAUGCGGAAGAGAUAAGUGCUGAAAGCAUCUAAGCACGAAACUUGCCCCGAGAUGAGUUCUCCCUGACYCCUUGAGRGUCCUGAAGGAACGUUGAAGACGACGACGUUGAUAGGCCGGGUGUGUAAGCGCAGCGAUGCGUUGAGCUAACCGGUACUAAUGAACCGUGAGGCUUAACCUUACAACGCCGAAGSUGUU